This is a long non-coding RNA of Eucalyptus grandis, 2486 nucleotides long. RefSeq lists it as uncharacterized. The transcript is spliced from 8 exons. Lineage: Eukaryota; Viridiplantae; Streptophyta; Magnoliopsida; Myrtales; Myrtaceae. The record is from RefSeq and is a predicted model, not a curated record.
AGCUAAAAGCACUAACACUAGCAUGCUUUCAUGAUAAAAAGGCUGCCUUUCCUUCCAUAUUCCUCCUGGAGAGAUUUCAGAAUUUACAAAGCCUUGAAGUCUUAUGUAGCUCCUUUGAAGAUUUAUUCCCGAACGAAGGGCUUGUUGAAGAAAGGAAACAUCCGGUGCUUGAAAAUUUAAGAAAACUUAAGUUGAACAAGCUACACAACUUAAAGUGUGUGUGGAGAGAAGACUCGUUAGUGUCAAAAAUUCUUCAAAGCAUCGAAACAUUUAAGGUUUGGGAUUGUCCCUAUUUAACAACAAUAUUUCCAACCGAGACAUCCUUCCAGAAUCUAACAAAUUUAGUGGUGAAGAAUUCCUCUGGAUUGGUACAUCUAGUAACGACUUCAGCAGUCACAAAUUUGGUACAUCUCACUUAUAUGACUAUAAUAGGAUGUGAAAGAAUGAAAGAAAUAGUGGCAGAUGAUGGAAACAGAGAAGGAAAAGUGAUUUCUUUUGAAAAGCUAAGUUGGUUGACACUUGAACAUCUGCCAAACUUAGAAUGCUUCUCUUCUAUCCCAAGUUGCAUCUUUAGGUUCCCAUCCUUAAGGAUUAUUGAAGUGGAAGAGUGUCCAAAAAUGAAGACCUUUUCUAAGGGUACACUAAGCACACCAAAACUAGAUGAUGUGUCACUGUUCAGAUACAAGUGGGAAGGGAAUUGGGAGAAGGGUGAUGAUCUCAAUACAACCAUACAGAAGUUAGCAGCAUAAAUCAAUGCACAUAGAAUUGUAGGAAGCAAAGCGGGUCUCUCCUUCUCCUUCUCCUUCUCCUUCUUGACGCCAAAGGCUCUUUCUCCAUCUUUCUUCUUCUUCUUCUUCCUCCGUGGAGCGAAAUUGGGGGAAGCCUCUGCUGCCUUCACAAAGGACGGAGCAAAAAUGAAGCAUCAGGAAUUGCCAGGACUGCGAGAAGCGAAGCUGCAAUUAGCGGAGCGGAGCCAAGUAGAUUCAACCAGACGCUGUCGUUGUCGCCGUCGUCACCGCCGGAGGUGGCACAACCGAGUCUGGACAGUCAGUCGUCCACUCACUUCAUCAAAGAAGAAGAAGAUCACACUCUCUCUCCGCAUCUGCAUCCGACAAAUCGCUGGUCCAAACAUUCGAGCAGAUUGAGGCAUCCGGAGCUGGUUUUUUAUGGUCCCAUGCGCCCAAGGCCUCUCACUGCUCUUACAUCGGCCAACAAAUUUCAAAUGGAGCAUCCCUUUUUCAAAGGUGGUGAGGAGGCCCUCUUAUGUUUACUUUGGCUUGGCAACAUAAUCAGGAAAACAAGGUAAUUGCAACUCUCAGGUAUUCAGACAGGUCGUGGACGGUGAAGCUCAGGAGCCAUGGACUUUUUUUUCGCUGCUUGACACCCAACUGCUAGAGAAGCUCGUUUGCAUUUAAGAGAUGUUUGUGUGUUCGAGCUCAUUGAUAGGGGGGAUGUGUGUUUAGAGUCUACAUUUCCACUAGUACUGCUCAAGACCUAUCAACUCCAUUAUCCAGCUGGUUGGGCCGCAUUUGUGAAAGAAGCUUGUCUGGAUGAAGGGGAUGUCCGCAUGUUUGAGCUCAUUGAUAGGGACGAUUUUAUGGUCAAUCUCCAUCUCCAAUUAUGCUAGUCAGAACAGAUAGUCUAAAUGUCCAGUGAGCCCUCUUGAGCAGCCUUUUCAUGGUUUCAAUUGUCCGAGGCCUCUCACUGCCCUUUAGAAUGCUGGAGAAUUCAAGUUAGAGUAUCCCUUUUUCCAGAUGGUGACAUGGCCAUCUUUUCUUAAGAAAGAAAUAAUGGCUUGGGAAGAAGAGGCGACACGAAAUGUCCAGCUUAAGCAAUAGCUAUUGCAACAGGCCUAGGCUUGGCAUGACUAGGCUCACUGCAACAGCACGGCAACACUAAUCGGGAUAUUGCUCCCUGGCAACAAAUGGUUUACAAGAGCUACUAUUGCAAGCAAGUUCAAACUUGCGAUCAGAAAUGAAGUGAAGAGCGUUCCUUAUAAAUUUAUAGAGACAUGCAGUCAAGAAAACCAGCAAAUUGCUAUUCUUAGGUAUUCAGACACAUUGUGGCUGGUGACCAUCAUGAGCUAUCAGCACUACGCUGUAGUGAACUUCUCUAUUGGUUGGUCCAAGUUUGUGAGAGAAACUUAGUCUUGAAUGAAGGGCAUGUCUGCAGGUUUGAGCUCCUUGAUAGGGAUGAUUUUUAGGUUGAAUUGGGACGUGAACACUGGAAGUGUCACUUUAGGCCAUAUACUAGUUAGAAGCGAUCUAUGCCUCUUUUCUGUUGUGAUGAACCGGAUGAAAGUCCACUUUUAUUUCUGACUGCUUUUUUCUGAACUAGUUACAAUCUUAUAAUUUCUAGGCCUAGCCACUCCAUUUAUCGGAUAUUGUGAUGAAUAGCCUCGCACACAUUUUCUACUUUGGGUAUUUCUCUUGCGCUUGUAAUGCUUUUAUCAUUGCCUUCUUGGAAAGGACCUUAGUUCAGCAUUA